CUUGCUCCCGGAUGUUAGCGGCGGACGGGUGAGUAACACGUGGGUAACCUGCCUGUAAGACUGGGAUAACUCCGGGAAACCGGAGCUAAUACCGGAUAGUUCCUUGAACCGCAUGGUUCAAGGAUGAAAGACGGUUUCGGCUGUCACUUACAGAUGGACCCGCGGCGCAUUAGCUAGUUGGUGGGGUAAUGGCUCACCAAGGCGACGAUGCGUAGCCGACCUGAGAGGGUGAUCGGCCACACUGGGACUGAGACACGGCCCAGACUCCUACGGGAGGCASCAGUAGGGAAUCUUCCGCAAUGGACGAAAGUCUGACGGAGCAACGCCGCGUGAGUGAUGAAGGUUUUCGGAUCGYAAAGCUCUGUUGUUAGGGAAGAACAAGUGCGAGAGUAACUGCUCGCACCUUGWGGGUACCYAACCAGAAAGCCACGGCUAACUACGUGCCAGCAGCCGCGGUAAUACGUAGGUGGCAAGCGUUGUCCGGAAUUAUUGGGCGUAAAGGGCUCGCAGGCGGUUUCUUUAGUCUGAUGUGAAAGUUUYGGCUCAACCGGGGAGGGUCAUUGGAAACUGGGAAACUUGAGUGCASAAGAGGAGAGUGGAA
Molecule: ribosomal RNA, 601 nt
Filed under: Bacillus sp. (in: firmicutes)
Lineage: Bacteria; Bacillati; Bacillota; Bacilli; Caryophanales; Bacillaceae
Description: bacterial SSU rRNA
Rfam family: Bacterial small subunit ribosomal RNA
Source: RNAcentral